Molecule: ribosomal RNA, 688 nt
Filed under: Escherichia coli
Lineage: Bacteria; Pseudomonadati; Pseudomonadota; Gammaproteobacteria; Enterobacterales; Enterobacteriaceae
Description: partial 23S ribosomal RNA
Rfam family: Bacterial large subunit ribosomal RNA
Source: RNAcentral
UGUCUGGUGGGUAGUUUGACUGGGGCGGUCUCCUCCUAAAGAGUAACGGAGGAGCACGAAGGUUGGCUAAUCCUGGUCGGACAUCAGGAGGUUAGUGCAAUGGCAUAAGCCAGCUUGACUGCGAGCGUGACGGCGCGAGCAGGUGCGAAAGCAGGUCAUAGUGAUCCGGUGGUUCUGAAUGGAAGGGCCAUCGCUCAACGGAUAAAAGGUACUCCGGGGAUAACAGGCUGAUACCGCCCAAGAGUUCAUAUCGACGGCGGUGUUUGGCACCUCGAUGUCGGCUCAUCACAUCCUGGGGCUGAAGUAGGUCCCAAGGGUAUGGCUGUUCGCCAUUUAAAGUGGUACGCGAGCUGGGUUUAGAACGUCGUGAGACAGUUCGGUCCCUAUCUGCCGUGGGCGCUGGAGAACUGAGGGGGGCUGCUCCUAGUACGAGAGGACCGGAGUGGACGCAUCACUGGUGUUCGGGUUGUCAUGCCAAUGGCACUGCCCGGUAGCUAAAUGCGGAAGAGAUAAGUGCUGAAAGCAUCUAAGCACGAAACUUGCCCCGAGAUGAGUUCUCCCUGACUCCUUGAGAGUCCUGAAGGAACGUUGAAGACGACGACGUUGAUAGGCCGGGUGUGUAAGCGCAGCGAUGCGUUGAGCUAACCGGUACUAAUGAACCGUGAGGCUUAACCUUACAACGCCGAAG